RNAcentral lists this transfer RNA (72 nucleotides) under Pangasianodon gigas (Mekong giant catfish). RNAcentral describes it as "tRNA-Glu". It matches the Rfam family "tRNA". Rfam says of the family: Transfer RNA (tRNA) molecules are approximately 80 nucleotides in length. Their secondary structure includes four short double-helical elements and three loops (D, anti-codon, and T loops). The record is from RNAcentral. Lineage: Eukaryota; Metazoa; Chordata; Actinopteri; Siluriformes; Pangasiidae.
UCCCUGGAGGACUAGUGGUUAGGCCACAGCGCUCUCACCACUGCUGCCUGAGUUCGAUUCCCGGCCAGGGAA